CAUCUGAUUUUAUGAUGUCUAAAUGGGGUAUGAUAUAUUCUCGAUCUAAUACCAAACUAACUUUGUAUUUGAUUUUAAGUCAAGAAACUUUGUCCUCUCGAUCAAGCAUGACUUUUAUCAACAUUGAUGAAGAUGAAAGUGAACAGAACAAUGACAAUGAUAUUUUCAAAACAACCAUAAAUUUCCUCUUAUCAAAUUGACGAAGUACCAAAAUCAAAGGUAUGCAAUCAACGCUAAAUCCUUAAUGUAAUUUAUAUUUGUUUUACAUUAUAUAAACUUAUAUCUAUAUCAUAUUCUUUUCUUUUUGUUUUGGAUCACCUAUUUUAAUAUAAAUUUUUUAUUGUUUUUCAUAUUUCAAUUGUACAAAUAUGUAUAACUGUAUUUGAUUGAAUUGACUUAAGUAAAGAUUUAAUUUUUGAAAGAUAAAAAAUAGUUUGCAUUCGUGCAUAUAUUAAAUAAAUCCUAUGAUAAAAUAGUUUAUGUUAUCUAUAUCUUUAAAAUUUCACUAAUACUUUUUCAAUAUUUUAAAAUAACUUUAUAUGUUUUGUCUUAUGUAGGGAAGGAAGUGGAAGAAUUUGAAUGGAUAGUAAAUUUAGACAAGUAUGAAAGGGCGAAGAUUGUAUUCCAUAACAUGAGAGGUUGUGUCCAAGACUUGAGUGUGUGUGACUUUUCAGUCACAUGACGAUAACUUAACCGUUGCGCCAAGGCUCCUCCUUUCUCGUUGAUGUGUUAAUGGGAAGAAAACUCGUUGACAAAAGAAGGCCGGAAAAGGAACGAAGUUUUGUUUGAAUGUGAAAACCAUACUUGAAAAAACCUUGCUCCCUCAUUUUCUUUCACCAAACCUCCCCUUGUAGUUGAAAUCAAAUAAGAUAUGAUAUGUGAUGCAUCACUAUCUUAUCUUAAACAAAUGAGAUUAUAUAUACGUACUUUAAGGGUUAGUAUUUAAACCAAAACUUGAUUAUCUUUCAUUCAUUUUUGUAAAAAAUAUAUAUAUAAAGUUUUUGUAUGUCGUUGUUAUUUGUGUAAAUUUUUAAUCAUGAGACAAAAUUUGAG
This 1053-nucleotide long non-coding RNA is filed under the name Medicago truncatula (barrel medic). RNAcentral's name for it is "long non-coding RNA (MTRU_LNC004089)". The record is from RNAcentral. Lineage: Eukaryota; Viridiplantae; Streptophyta; Magnoliopsida; Fabales; Fabaceae.